CAGCAGCCACGGGAAUACGUAGGUGGCAAGCGUUGUCCGGAAUUACUGGGCGUAAAGCGUGCGCAGGCGGUUAUAUAAGUCAGAUGUGAAAUCCCCGGGCUUAACCUGGGAACUGCAUUUGAGACUGUAUGGCUAGAGUGUGUCAGAGGGGGGUAGAAUUCCACGUGUAGCAGUGAAAUGCGUAGAUAUGUGGAGGAAUACCGAUGGCGAAGGCAGCCCCCUGGGAUAACACUGACGCUCAUGCACGAAAGCGUGGGGAGCAAACAGGAUUAGAUACCCGCGUAGUCCCUGUCUCUUAUAA
RNAcentral lists this ribosomal RNA (301 nucleotides) under uncultured bacterium. RNAcentral describes it as "partial 16S ribosomal RNA". It matches the Rfam family "Bacterial small subunit ribosomal RNA", at positions 509 to 809 of the family's 1533-position model. The record is from RNAcentral.